CAGAAAUUUUUUUUGUGCCGCCUAAUUUGGUGGACCCGGGGGCAGUCGCACCGGUUGUCCCCCCAUUGAAGCCGGCACUGCACCUCUUCCACUUCUUCUCCGCCAAAAUCUCUACUAUCUGUAUCUAUAAAAUCUUUCGAUGGUUUUCUCAUCUUUUCACAUCGAUUACUCUCGACAAUCAGGAAAAAGAGUUAAGAGACGAAGAUUGAAGAUUCUCAUUAUCAACAAGUGGGUAAACGUGAGACAAUGACAAAUGUUGUUUUCAAAGAAAUAUUUAUAAAUCUGCAAGGUUAUGGAAGUUAGCAGUUCCCUAACUAUGACAACUAGAAUAGAAAUUGUGGAUGCAGCGGAUAACACAUGAUCAUGAUGAACCUUUUGUAUUUUCUCUAUAUUGUUCUCUGAUUUUUCUAUAUGCACCAGCAUCAUUAUAUCGAUGUUGUGAUUACUUAGGUGUUUAUGUUUAAGUUUGAUGAAAUACAGAAAUAUUGCCAAUAAAGCUUUAUGUAGCUUACUUC
Long non-coding RNA from Camelina sativa (false flax), 515 nucleotides. RefSeq lists it as uncharacterized. The record is from RefSeq and is a predicted model, not a curated record. NCBI's taxonomy places the organism in Eukaryota, Viridiplantae, Streptophyta, Magnoliopsida, Brassicales, Brassicaceae.